Molecule: transfer RNA, 71 nt
Filed under: Rana johnsi (John's groove-toed frog)
Lineage: Eukaryota; Metazoa; Chordata; Amphibia; Anura; Ranidae
Also listed under: 1 other name
Description: tRNA-Ser
Rfam family: tRNA
About the family: Transfer RNA (tRNA) molecules are approximately 80 nucleotides in length. Their secondary structure includes four short double-helical elements and three loops (D, anti-codon, and T loops).
Source: RNAcentral
AAGGAAGUGGCAGAGAGGCUAUGUAUCUGGCUUGAAACCGGGGUACGGGGGUUCAAUUCCCUCCUUUCUUG